Molecule: ribosomal RNA, 507 nt
Filed under: uncultured fungus
Lineage: Eukaryota; Fungi
Description: bacterial SSU rRNA
Rfam family: Eukaryotic small subunit ribosomal RNA
Source: RNAcentral
GAUGCUUCAUUCAAAUAUCUGCCCUAUCAACUUUCGAUGGUAGAGUAGUGGUCUACCAUGGUUACGACGGGUAACGGGGAAUAAGGGUUCGAUUCCGGAGAGGGAGCCUGAGAAACGGCUACCACAUCUAAGGAAGGCAGCAGGCGCGCAAAUUACCCAAUCCCGACACGGGGAGGUAGUGACAAUAAAUAACAAUAUAGGGCCCUCUUGGGUCUUAUAAUUGGAAUGAGUACAAUUUAAAUCCCUUAACGAGGAUCAAUUGGAGGGCAAGUCUGGUGCCAGCAGCCGCGGUAAUUCCAGCUCCAAUAGCGUAUAUUAAGUUGCUGCAGUUAAAAAGCUCGUAGUUGGAUUUCUGACAUUAAUGCGUUUGGCCCGCUGCGGUUACGUAUGUGAGUGCCGAGUCGUGUUUGUCAUCCUUCUAGAAAAUGUUAAUUUGCUCUUCAUUGAGUAUAAUUAUACACGAUCUAGAUCUUUUACUUUGAAAAAAUUAGAGUGUUUAAAGCAGGC